RNAcentral lists this ribosomal RNA (495 nucleotides) under uncultured bacterium. Its description in RNAcentral is "partial 16S ribosomal RNA". It matches the Rfam family "Bacterial small subunit ribosomal RNA", at positions 28 to 507 of the family's 1533-position model. The record is from RNAcentral.
GACGAACGCUGGCGGCGUGCCUAAUACAUGCAAGUAGAACGCUGAAGGAGGAGCUUGCUUCUCUGGAUGAGUUGCGAACGGGUGAGUAACGCGUAGGUAACCUGCCUGGUAGCGGGGGAUAACUAUUGGAAACGAUAGCUAAUACCGCAUAAUAGUAGAUGUCGCAUGACAUUUGCUUAAAAGGUGCAAUUGCAUCACUACCAGAUGGACCUGCGUUGUAUUAGCUAGUUGGUGAGGUAACGGCUCACCAAGGCAACGAUACAUAGCCGACCUGAGGGGGUGAUCGGCCACACUGGGACUGAGACACGGCCCAGACUCCUACGGGAGGCAGCAGUAGGGAGUCUUCGGCAAUGGACGGAAGUCUGACCGAGCAACGCCGCGUGAGUGAAGAAGGUUUUCGGAUCGUAAAGCUCUGUUGUAAGAGAAGAACGAGUGUGAGAGUGGAAAGUUCACACUGUGACGGUAUCUUACCAGAAAGGGACGGCUAACUACGUG